Molecule: long non-coding RNA, 579 nt
Organism: Ananas comosus (pineapple)
Lineage: Eukaryota; Viridiplantae; Streptophyta; Magnoliopsida; Poales; Bromeliaceae
Exons: 3
Source: RefSeq, a predicted model, not a curated record
AGCUGUAAUGUACUUUUUGUAACAUAGGCAUUAUGUUCACUUUUCUCAUCCUUUUUUUUAAUAAUAAUAAUAAUAAUAACAGUAAUAUUUUGCAAUUUCUGUGGAGAAAUAGUACAAAUUUGUACUAUUUCUUGGAUUUGAGUAGGGGACCAGUCUACCUUCACCUAGAGCAAGAGGAAAGUUUAUUUAAGCUUAAUUAAAAGGUGCUAUAGGGUGAAUUUCUUUUCUUUGGGCUCUACUAACCGAAAUGCAAAAUUGCUGAAUUCUACAGGAUUCUUGAGUUUUCCUCUGUAGCUGAACUUUUGGAAGGUUAGUAGAGAGCUUAACUUCACCCACAGUUGGUUGGAUCAUUGUUGGAGCUGAUUUGGAGGUAGACAUUUUUGAUCUGUUGAUGAGGAACAAUUUUACUUGUCCAACUUAUCAAUGCUUGUUCGAACAGCUGGAGCUGUGGAAAUGGAAGUGGGAAGCAAGAGUUUCAAUCAUGCGGUGUUUGUUAUUUUUUUUGUUACAUUUUGAACAAGUAUUUUUUGUUAGAACUUAUGUUCGAAAUUUAAUUUCAAUACUGAGAUUGUAAUUUGA